RNAcentral lists this ribosomal RNA (618 nucleotides) under uncultured bacterium. Its description in RNAcentral is "bacterial SSU rRNA". It matches the Rfam family "Bacterial small subunit ribosomal RNA", at positions 338 to 948 of the family's 1533-position model. The record is from RNAcentral.
CCUACGGGAGGCAGCAGUGGGGAAUUUUGGACAAUGGGCGAAAGCCUGAUCCAGCAAUGCCGCGUGAGUGAAGAAGGCCUUCGGGUUGUAAAGCUCUUUUGUCAGGGAAGAAACGGUGAGAGCUAAUAUCUCUUGCUAAUGACGGUACCUGAAGAAUAAGCACCGGCUAACUACGUGCCAGCAGCCGCGGUAAUACGUAGGGUGCAAGCGUUAAUCGGAAUUACUGGGCGUAAAGCGUGCGCAGGCGGUUUUGUAAGUCUGUCGUGAAAUCCCCGGGCUCAACCUGGGAAUUGCGAUGGAGACUGCAAGGCUAGAAUUUGGCAGAGGGGGGUAGAAUUCCACGUGUAGCAGUGAAAUGCGUAGAGAUGUGGAGGAACACCGAUGGCGAAGGCAGCCCCCUGGGUCAAGAUUGACGCUCAUGCACGAAAGCGUGGGGAGCAAACAGGAUUAGAUACCCUGGUAGUCCACGCCCUAAACGAUGUCUACUAGUUGUCGGGUUUUAAUUAACUUGGUAACGCAGCUAACGCGUGAAGUAGACCGCCUGGGGAGUACGGUCGCAAGAUUAAAACUCAAAUGAAUUGACGGCUGAGACGNGCGAGACGACGACGAGGGAGGAGG